CCUACGGGAGGCUGCAGUGAGGAAUAUUGGUCAAUGGGCGUAAGCCUGAACCAGCCAAGUCGCGUGAGGGAUGAAGGUUCUAUGGAUCGUAAACCUCUUUUAUAAGGGAAUAAAGUGCGGGACGUGUCCCGUUUUGUAUGUACCUUAUGAAUAAGGAUCGGCUAACUCCGUGCCAGCAGCCGCCGUAAUCCGGAGGAUCCGAGCGUUAUCCGGAUUUAUUGGUUUUAAGGGUGGCGUAGGCGGCCUUUUAAGUAAGCGGUGAAAGUCUGUGGCUCAACCAUAGAAUUGUCGUUGAAACUGGGAGGCUUGAGGAUGUUUGAGGCAGGCGGAAUGCGUGGUGGAGCGGUGAAAUGCUGAGAUAUCACGCAGAACCCCGAUUGCGAAGGCAGACUGCCAAGCCAUGACUGACGCUGAUGCACGAAAGCGUGGGGAUCAAACAGGAUUAGAUACCCUUGUAGUC
This 460-nucleotide ribosomal RNA is filed under the name uncultured bacterium. RNAcentral's name for it is "partial 16S ribosomal RNA". It matches the Rfam family "Bacterial small subunit ribosomal RNA", at positions 338 to 795 of the family's 1533-position model. The record is from RNAcentral.